Long non-coding RNA from Chenopodium quinoa (quinoa), 1335 nucleotides. RefSeq lists it as uncharacterized. The record is from RefSeq and is a predicted model, not a curated record. The transcript has 2 exons. Lineage: Eukaryota; Viridiplantae; Streptophyta; Magnoliopsida; Caryophyllales; Amaranthaceae.
AGAGUUAUGGGUUAAUAUCUUACGGAACCCUGACGAUAGCAUCACUCAUCCUCUAGGGCGAUCUAAGGGUGUAAAUGGCUUGCCUUUAGGUUCUAAAAUGGAUCGUGAUUGCUACGAAAGUGAGUUAGUGUAUAUUCUUGUCUCUUCUCUUCUCAUCUCAUUUUGUUUGUUUGAAUAAGCUUAUCAUUUUUCCCCUGUUAAGGUUUUGCUCGAGGACGAGCAAAAGUUAAGCUUUGGGGAAUUUGAUGAGUGCCAUUUAUGGUUCUCAUUUGAUGAGAAUUUAGGUUGUUUUUACCUUCUUUUCGUAGCUUUCUUUCUUAAUAAAUGCUGAGUUUUAUGAGAUUUCUUUAUAUCUCCCUUUUCUCCCUUAUUUUUUUAUUUUUUUCUUGUGUUUUCUCUAUUAUUUCUUCUCUUAUCGUGGUUGUAGGUAUUAAACGCGGUUCGAGCCUUGAUGUUGGUGGUUUUAUAAGGUGGAAGAUGCUUUUGGAGUAAGCUUUUAGCAUUGGGAAAGCACAAGAUGCAAGGACGUGGGUGCUCCAAGUUCUAGCUCUUGCGCUCUCAAGUUGUGCCCUCAUGAAAGGUAGUGUUUCAACCACUAGUAGAAUAAACUUAAUGGGCAGCCACAAAUGGCAAGCGGUUUUUGAAUUCCGCUUGCUAAAAUAUAAAUGGCAAGCGGUUUUGGAUGAACCACUUGCCAAAAUGCAAAUGGCAAGCGGUGUUGGAUGAACCGCUUGCCAAAAUAUAAAUGGCAAGCAGUUUGAGCAUUGAAUCGCUUGCCAUUGGUUAAAAAAACCCUUACACACCCAUCCCACAUAUUCACUCGGCGCCUCUAUCCUCUCUCUCCCCUCAUUUUCACGAUUCUCCUCUCUCUCUCCUCUCUUCCUCCUUCACUCCUCAGUUCUCUCUCCCCCUCCCCCUCCAUCUCCUUCUCUUGCUUCUCUCAGCCUCCUUUCUUUGCUUUCUCACGCCUCACCACAACAGCGACGAGUGACCAACAACCUUUGACGAGCGACUAUAAGAAGGCGGUAGGGUUCAGAUCUUUCGGCUCGACGUUUGGGUAUUACGCUACUUCUCAUGUCAUUCUCGCUUUAAUUUCCGAUAUGGGUGAAUCGGGAUAGGGUGCUGGUGGUGGCGAUACAGGUUAAGGUGGUGGCGGUGAAAGCUGGCGCGUGCGACUGGUGGUUUGCAUGCUGGUGGUGGAACUGGAACAAGAGUAGAAAAUCAGAAAUUAUUUUAUUUAUUAAUUUAUAUGUUGUAUUUUUUUUUUGAAGGAUCAGAAAAUGUAAUAUUGAAGAAAUUGAUUAAUGAAAAUAGUUAUGGUUAUACAUAUGUUAA